UAAAAAACAAAAACAAAAUCCCAGCCUGCACACCGCUCCCUUGCCCACUGCCCAGGUCACACCUGGGGCUCCGGCGAAGCUGAAUUCGGCUCGGGAGAUUUCCCUGUCGCCAGGUAAGAAAACCUUCGCCUGGUCAGGCUAGGGCGGGAAGACCGCUGGGGAACUUGUUGCUUAUCAGCGACAGCAGGCUACCGCUUUAAUAAUAAUACCAGGAAAGCGCAGCAGGGAGGGGGUGGGGGGCGGCAACGGCGACGACUAACUGCACUGUUUACGUGACCGACUCACUGUGACUCCCUGGGUAAAAAAAAAAAAAAAAAAAAAAGAAACUUCUUAGAAAAGUUCGUGCCCCUCCCCCCUCAUCAUGACUAAGGGUCUCCAGCCGAUGAGGUCGUGAGUGAUGAUCAAAUGGGGGCUGGGGGGUAGGGGGGCGAGUAAGUGACUUGUCCUUGGGAACAACUGCAUGCGUAGAAGCGCGCAUCAGCCCAACAACUUUCCCUUUUCCUCUUAGGGACUGAUGACUAGGCGAGAGACACCAAGGCGAGCCACUAGUUGCCCACAGGAACCUGUGUAAGCCGAGCUCUCAAGCGGCUGAGUUGAAUGAAGUUAUGACUGCGUUUGCUCUAAUGGGUUAUGGCUUCCCGAAUGUAAUAGGAGAAGAAAAGAAUCACGACGCACAACUUGGAAAGCCUUCUGAAAACAAGAAUGGGCAAUGAUUGCCAAGAACCUGAUGUUUAGCUCAUAUUUAAAAAGAACUCAAAGAAUCUUCAAUCUACCAAACCUAGUUUAGUUAUAAACAAUCAGAACUUCAAAAAGAAGCAAGCAGGAGAAAGCUUUGGGAAAGUCAUGAUUUAGUUUGCAAUAACCUCUGUGCGUUCCUGAUCCUGACAAGCAAGCAUGAGGCAGAAGAUCUGGACAUGACUUAACUCAAUUUCAGAAAACCAGACAACCUUAUAAUGAGGCUGAAGCAAGACCACACGGAAUACUGAGGAAGAACUGAAUGACUCUUUCUACACCAUCUUACAGACAAGAGAUGAAUAAGAGGAAGUAUGGGUAGCAAGUAAGAGAGAAGUGACGUUGUUAAUAUGAAAGCUUGACAGGAGAUUAAGAUGGGUCAAGAGCAUGUCAGGUCAGGACUUGCAAGAUGUACUUAAGUAAAUGUAAGUUCAUAUUAGGAAUUGGAAAAAAUGAGAAAUAAAAACACCAAG
Molecule: long non-coding RNA, 1205 nt
Filed under: Callithrix jacchus (white-tufted-ear marmoset)
Lineage: Eukaryota; Metazoa; Chordata; Mammalia; Primates; Cebidae
Description: lncRNA (ENSCJAG00000052920.2)
Source: RNAcentral